This is a long non-coding RNA of Xiphophorus hellerii (green swordtail), 2277 nucleotides long. RefSeq lists it as uncharacterized. Lineage: Eukaryota; Metazoa; Chordata; Actinopteri; Cyprinodontiformes; Poeciliidae. The record is from RefSeq and is a predicted model, not a curated record. The transcript is spliced from 2 exons.
UUAUGGUUUCUGAUCACCUUCAUCUCAGCUCUUUAGAGACGCUACUUCUUCCAAAAAAGCAAGAAAAGAAAGAGGAAAAAAAAGCAAAUGACUCAGUGUGCUUCUGUCAUGCUAAAAUAGAGCUGGACAGUUUAAAUCAGCUAUGAUUUAAACGACAGCAGUUCCGAUACAGAAAGAGGAAGAGUUUUUUUAUUUAUUUAUUUUUAUUAAAUUCAUAAUUAUUGGUUUCAGCCCUUCACACAACGUGCCUUCAGAGUGUGUGGAUAAACAGUGACGGCUCGGGGAGUUUUGCUAAUGGGUGUGCGGUGUGACAGCCGAUGGCCUCAGUCAAUCAGAAACGCCUCUCAUCUCGUAAUCCGAAGGCGGAAGCAGGCCGGGGAUGCCUGGUGGACACGAUGCAAUAACAGCUAAAUAUAAUGACCCACAGCUGCUGAUGAACAGCAACAUAUUUGAGCGCACACGUGCGAAUUGCAACUCAGACGGCAAUCGCAAAGAUUCAAGUUGUGUGAAGACGAGCAAAAUGAGGAGUGAUCACAUCUUUAAUGGCGAGAGAAACACCGUGGAAGAUAGUUUUGCUAAAAGGAAAAUGCGAAUCCGUCCGACUUCGCCACUGCUGGGACUUUUUAAAGGGACGGAAACACAGCAGCAACAGCCUCUAAGCCUCCCUUAGCUGCGUCCAUUUCCAUAAGUGCUGCUGGCUGUCUGAGCCACGCCAGAAACACUGGGAGGCUAAAUUCCCCGGCAUAUCAUUUUCCCCCCGCUUCGCUCCUCGCUCUCACCUCUUCCGAACCAAAAGUUCAUUACCAUGCAGUCCGCCUUGGAGAAAGAGGAGCAGCAAACGAAAGAGGAACUGGGGAGCUCUGUGGCUACAGGGUCGACACACACACACACACACACACACACACACAGAGAAAACACACACACACACACUUACUCACGGUAAUGAGCAGGUUAUGCUCAGGCACAGGCUGCUAAAAUCUGUAAUUAUAAUCAACCUCUCCCCCUCAUCUCUGUCUCCCUUCCUCUUUGCUUCUCUUUCUCCGUCUACAUCAGUGAGCAGGCACUGGGGAAUCCUUCACUAAGCACCAGAGGUAAUGAGUUUAUUGAUUAACAUGCAGAGAUGAAGCAGCUCUCUCAAAUUAGUGUUGUUUUACAUUAUUGGAUGGACUCGGGGAACUUCAGAGCUCUGCGAGACCAUUACCUCAUUGAAGUCCCAAAACUCACAUAUACUGUACAUUCGCUUUACUACUCCAACAUUAAGCGGAGAUGCAAAGAGAUGUUUACACUCUUGGAUUUCCCUGACCGCUAUUUUUGCAGUUGGAUAGUUUCUACUGAAAUGUAGAUCAGAGGUGAUUUAAAAAAUAUAUAUUUUUAUUUUUUAUGAAUAGAAUGCCAUUCUGUUUUUAAUGCGUUUGAUUUUGCAUGCAGGUGCGGUAGGUGAUCCGUCAGACAACUGACAGCCCUGCAUCUGGCUAACCAUCUGGUUAAGGAGCACCGCACACAUCCCACAUAAGCGCCGCUUGUGACCUCACGUCUUGACAUGCUUUAGAGUCAAGAACGGAGGUAAAAGCUGUACAAGUCUUCAGGUGUUUGAUUUUUAAUUUUUUGGAAGUUAUGAGUAAAUGGACAGGAUGCACAACAAUGGCGUGGAACAAGAUGCCAGGAGUUCAAAGAAGGACAACGAUCUGACUUCCAGGAAAAAUACCUUCAUCAUCUCUGCUGGAAACCUGAAUCAGCAUGUAAUCAGAACUUUUGACUGUUUAGUUUGACAGAUGAAACAACAAGGCUGCAAAUUCAGUUCUCAUCCAAGCAGAUGAGAUAGGGAUAGUGUUGCUUCACUAUCCCCACCAUUUGUUUAGGGAUCAUGAAGCAACACUUGCAAUCCCUUACUGCCAAGAGUCAAAAUCUGCCGUGGGGCAAAGACCCCAACCCUCAGUUUACCACCGUAGACCAGAUUUUGUGGAUCAAAUUGUGACUCUAGAGCAACUUUUCAGCCAUAUAGGGUCCAUGUUGAAGUUAGCGAAUCUGCUUUGCACAAAUUGCUAAAUAAAAAUAUAGUUUUUAAAAGAAGAUUAGAGGUCUGCAACUUUCUCAUUUUUUUGCCAGUGUAUUUUUAUUUAUUUAUUUUUUUGCGUGUGUACUGUGACUUAUCAAGACAGCUAUAAAAUGUGUCCGAUGAUGUUUGCAACAUUUAAUAGAAUUGUUUUGAGUUUUUGGUUUGACAUCUUUUUUCCCUAUGUGUUCUACUAGAGCAUCAAUAAAUGACAUAUUUCAUAA